UUUAUAAUGUUUUAAAAUGUUAGUUUGUCCGUUUAAAUGUAGUAACCUAUGUGUGAGGCAAGUUACUAGCUAGCUAUGCUAACGGCUACAGCCAUUCGACCGAGCCUUUGUCCCCUUCAAAUGUGCUCAUGUGGGCUCCUGCAGCCACACACCUGUGUGGAGAAAAGCUAAUGACUAACGGCAUCGAGCGGCUACAGGCAGGGAGCGGUGGGUCUAGCGUCUGUCCUUUUUCUGUAAUCACAUACACCUGCGGGGAACAGCUGAUCGUUAUCGCCCUUCCAGCGGUGACAGACAGGAAGCGGUGGAUCUAGCUCGCUGUAGUAAGUUUGUGCUUGAUACUUGUGAUAUCUAAAUAUGUUAGUUGGGUCUGUUUAAAAUGCAGUAACCCACAUGUGAGACAAGCUAAUCGCUAGCGUCGCUAACGGCUACAGUGAGUCAACUGAGCCUUUGUCCCUUUCAAAUGUGCUACUCUGAGUUGGUGCAACCACACACCUGUGUGGGGAACAGCUAAUAGCGAUGGGCCUUCGAUCGGCGACAGGCAGGAAGCGGUGGAUCGAGCUUUUGUCCUGUUGACGUGCUGCCGCUCCUGUUUGUGUUGCGUUAGCCGUUAGCAUGCCUUUAGGCCUUUGCACUUUAGAGCUACAGCUGGUCGAUCGCUACAAAAAUAACCUGCAGAUGAACGCGGUUGUGUUUGUUAUUACCCCGUCCUGUGUCAGAGCCUAAAUCAACUUGUGAUUUGGGGUUAUGUCAUUGUUCUAUCAAAUUCUAACAUGAUUAGUUGGAAUGAUUACUGUGUUGUGUUUCAAGCUUAGUUGCUAAUUAGUCACAUCUCUACAAUACCUGCUGCUUAUCUGGUCAGUUACCGAUAGCUUGUACCAUAGCCAUUAUAUUUGUAGGACCAAUACAAUUUACAGUAAAUGUAACAGUCUUUUCUAUACUGUAGGAGGGCAAAUCCCAGUUGCCCACAUGCAAGGAGGCUGUCAAACAGAGAAAUCACUGCAGACUGUUGGUACACAGACAUCUGCUGCCCAGCUCAGGAGUAAAGUACCUUUUUGUUUUGAUGAGGUGAUGGUAAGGACAGCCACAGCUUCCAUCUGGUAGAGGACUGCUUCCGCUCAGUCUUCCAAAUAGUGAUGAGAACAAGGAUCACCACAUCUCCCUGUUUACCCUACUUUCAUGCAUUUCGUCUGCAAGGCCCUGCAAAAGCUUCUGACCUCAAACCCCCAGACUUCUUAAUUAACUCAGUAACCUAUACAUUGCACAUUGGAGUGUGAAGGUAACAGUUUGUUCUAGCUUUGGAGUAGUGGUGUAUUUUUUUGGUUUACAAUAAAGUUGGCUUUAACUAUUAUGUAUUUCACUGAACUCUGUUUCUGAAGGGAAAACACUUUUAUUUAGGAAAUCAUAGUAUUGAAAUUACAUGUUUUUCUCUUUCUAAUAUGGUAAGCUAUAAAGUUGAAGCGGCCAUAAAUAAAACGCAUAUAAAUUAUAUAUAAAUAAAGUUAAAAAAAUUCUUAAUGAGUGUUGCACUCACAAAAAACACAUUUUUACUCAAACGGUAAAGGAGUUAUUCUACAGGUGGUCUACAUCAAUCAUACUAUGAGUGUUUUAGUGUUUUAUCCAUCAGGAAACUGCCUUCAUCUACAACCCAAGCAUGAAGAGAUGGCAACUCAGAUUCUUCACCCCAGGAAUCCUCAGCACCAGCUCACUAGCCUCUGUAGACUAGAUACCUGUAACAACUUUAGAUACAGAGACAUAUUACUGUCAAAUUUAUCAUGAAUGACAAAAAACAUAAUUAAAAGCAGUAAAAAUACGUUAGGUCAAUAUAUAAUUUGAACCAAUGCUUUUUGUUCCCAGGUAGGUCAUGCAGUGAUUGCUCUAAAUAUUAAUGCACAUUUUUUAAAUAAAAUUGUCAGAGCAGCAGCACAAGUAAGACAAAAACAGUGAAAUGUGUAAAUGUAAAAUGUAUUUAUAUUAUUUCAGCUAUGCUCUCAAACUUAUUUAUUUGUAUAAUGUAAGCUAAAGUAGUGUUUUCUAUUAACGAGAGUUUUCCAGGUAAGUCGUGUUGUGAAUAUUCAAGCUGCACACGCCAUUUAGCAUUCGCAUUAGCAACCGCUAGUCGCUUUGCAAAUUACAUAAAUCAAUUAAAUUGAAGUAAAUGCGACAUUACCAAUGAGACACAUCUUGCAUCAGCCGAAAUGUGGUGACUUCAACAGCCUCCUUUUCAGCUUCAGGGUCAGAUUCGGGAUCGUAGACGUAUGGUUCUACUACGCUACGAACUAGCUGACUAAUGUCGUGCAGUUCUGUAGUGGGUCUUCUUCUUCUGUGGAGGAUUGCGGUGGAUUGCAUUCUCAAUGUCGCACUACUGCCACCUAUUGUAUCCUAACCGUGCGGUGGCUCGUAUCCAUGGAGCCAAUUUAAAAAAAAAAAACAACAACAAAAAAGGUAUGCGCUUCCGCCCAGAGGUGUGGUGAGCAGCUUCACUUGCGACACGCCCAGAAAACACAGCGUUUGCUGAUGGAGAGUGAAAACCACACAUUGACAGGGGCAGUGUGGACGAUCUAAAGGGUUUUAUGGGAUGAAAAUUUACAGAGACCUUACUGAGACAUUAAAGUCUAAUAUUUUUUAGAAUGAAAAGCAUGAUAUGACUCCUUUAAA
Long non-coding RNA from Betta splendens (Siamese fighting fish), 2655 nucleotides. RefSeq lists it as uncharacterized. The record is from RefSeq and is a predicted model, not a curated record. The transcript has 2 exons. NCBI's taxonomy places the organism in Eukaryota, Metazoa, Chordata, Actinopteri, Anabantiformes, Osphronemidae.